UAAGAGGAUGGGAAUAUUGAGAGUGUGUGUGUGCGGGGUCAGCAUGUUUACUCACACUCUCCUGCCUGGGAUUGCGCCUGGGCAGGGAGGAUUGCGAGCUCUCUGGAUGUGGAUGCAUGCGGCCGAGGAAGGGAGAGGCUGAGAAAUGCGCCAGAAAGUUUAGGAUUUGCCAGUUUUUCCCGAUUCUGGAGUGGGCAAGGCUGGCAUCACCGGGGCAGGUCUGACACGGGAUGCAGCAGAGUGGGGAGGACAGGAGCCGAGGCGAGCGAGGCUCUGAGCCUUCCUCGGCGAGUGGCGUUUUCAUGCAAAACGCCCAAUGGAGAAUUGUUUUAAAUGCAUUUCGCUAUCUCCCCUGCUCUUCAGCCUCCCCCCAAAAGUUGUCAAUAAUUUGAAACCUGCAGAUCUCGGCAACACUUUUCUUCCCAGACAACUGGCUAGCAUUUUUUUUUUUUUAAUAUAUAUUUUUUUCGCUUUUUGGUAAACGACUUUUAAGUUCCAGUCAGUACUUUCACUUCUUGCUUUAGGAUCCCAGAAGCUAAGGUGUUACUUCACCCAGCUUCGCAAAAUAAAAUAAAGAAAUGAAACUAAGUAAGCAGACAAAACAGCAAACUUUCUGGUUGGGGAAACACAUCCUCGCCGGGAGCCCUGCCCCGGGCUGGGGCUCCAGCGGUGCCCGGCCGCGCCGGCUCGGCGUUACCAUUAACAGUUUUGGCCAGAAAUGGUGAGAAGCAAAAGCAUGAAGAAGCCGCGAAGUGGAGGAGAAAAGGUGAAGGGAGAUGCAGCUCCUGGAGAAAUUGUAAAAAGCCUUGCAAAGAGUUGUCGGAAGGACCGUUAUUCCUGCUGGGCAGGUUAGGACUGAUCUCUUUCUGCCACUCCAGGAAACACAAACCUGGGGACGGACUGACGUGUUACGCCUCUUCUAAUGACAUUUUUUUCUUUUUCUUUUCUGUAGGAGCGAGAGGAGAGACCCUGAAACACACGCCACCUAUCUUUGUGGGGAGGGAUAAUUGAAGAGCACCAAACGUGAGCAUCAUGUGGAAACGUGAUCGCCAAGUUUCUCUCUGGGAAAGGAUCUGGGAUAGAUUAUACCUUGAAGUCUCCGCGAAGGGCUUUAGCGGCACAAAUGCAAUUCCACCUCCUCCCGCCCGCCCCCCGCCCCGCGCCCGCCCCCCGCCCCGCUCCGCGCCGCUCCGCGCCCCGCGGCCCCCCCGCAG
RNAcentral lists this long non-coding RNA (1214 nucleotides) under Anas platyrhynchos platyrhynchos (common mallard). RNAcentral describes it as "lncRNA (ENSAPLG00000027183.1)". The record is from RNAcentral. Lineage: Eukaryota; Metazoa; Chordata; Aves; Anseriformes; Anatidae.